AAUCAACGCUGGCGGCGUGACCUAACACAUGCAAGUCGAACGAGAAAGGGGACUUCGGUCCCUGAGUACAGUGGCGCACGGGUGAGUAACACGUGACUUAUCUACCCUCGAGUGGGGAAUAACUUCGGGAAACCGAGGCUAAUACCGCAUAAUACCCACGGGUCAAAGGAGCAAUUCGCUUGAGGAGGAGGUCGCGGCCCGAUUAGUUAGUUGGCGGGGUAAUGGCCCCCACCAAGACGGUGAUCGGUAUCCGGCCUGAGAGGGCGCACGGACACACUGGAACUGAAACACGGUCCAGACUCCUACGGGAGGCAGCAGUGGGGAAUUUUGCGCAAUGGGGGAAACCCUGACGCAGCAACGCCGCGUGGAGGAUGAAGUCUCUUGGGACGUAAACUCCUUUCGAUCGGGACGAUUAUGACGGUACCGGAAGAAGAAGCCCCGGCUAACUUCGUG
This 453-nucleotide ribosomal RNA is filed under the name uncultured bacterium. RNAcentral's name for it is "bacterial SSU rRNA". It matches the Rfam family "Bacterial small subunit ribosomal RNA", at positions 32 to 507 of the family's 1533-position model. The record is from RNAcentral.